This 429-nucleotide ribosomal RNA is filed under the name uncultured bacterium. RNAcentral's name for it is "bacterial SSU rRNA". It matches the Rfam family "Bacterial small subunit ribosomal RNA", at positions 355 to 776 of the family's 1533-position model. The record is from RNAcentral.
UGGGGAAUUUUGGACAAUGGGCGCAAGCCUGAUCCAGCCAUACCGCGUGAGUGAAGAAGGCCUUCGGGUUGUAAAGCUCUUUCAUCCGGAAAGAAAUCGUGCAGAUUAAAACUCUGUAUGGAUGACGGUACCGGAAGAAGAAGCACCGGCUAACUACGUGCCAGCAGCCGCGGUAAUACGUAGGGUGCGAGCGUUAAUCGGAAUUACUGGGCGUAAAGCGUGCGCAGGCGGUUUUGUAAGACAGACGUGAAAUCCCCGGGCUUAACCUGGGAACUGCGUUUGUGACUGCAAGACUAGAGUGUAGCAGAGGGGGGUAGAAUUCCACGUGUAGCAGUGAAAUGCGUAGAGAUGUGGAGGAAUACCAAUGGCGAAGGCAGCCCCCUGGGUUAACACUGACGCUCAUGCACGAAAGCGUGGGGAGCAAACAGG